RNAcentral lists this ribosomal RNA (422 nucleotides) under uncultured bacterium. RNAcentral's name for it is "bacterial SSU rRNA". It matches the Rfam family "Bacterial small subunit ribosomal RNA", at positions 355 to 774 of the family's 1533-position model. The record is from RNAcentral.
UGAGGAAUAUUGGGCAAUGCCCGCAAGGGUGACCCAGCAACGCCGCGUGGAGGAUGAAUGUCGUAAGAUUGUAAACUCCUGUUAGAGGGGAAGAAUAGUACCGGUUGGACCGGUAUAUGACUGUACCCUCAGAGAAAGCCCCGGCUAACUACGUGCCAGCAGCCGCGGUAAUACGUAGGGGGCGAGCGUUGUCCGGAUUUACUGGGUGUAAAGGGCGCGCAGGCGGGAUAAAAAGUCAGUGGUGAAAUCCUACAGCUUAACUGUAGAACUGCCUUUGAUACUUUUAUUCUUGAGUUCGGGAGAGAGAGACGGAAUUCCAGGUGUAGUGGUGAAAUACGUAGAUAUCUGGAAGAACACCAGUUGCGAAGGCGGUCUCUUGGUCCGACACUGACGCUGAGGCGCGAAAGCGUGGGGAGCAAACA